GGCGGCGUGCCUAAUACAUGCAAGUCGAGCGGAACACUUGGAGCUUGCUCCAAGCGUUUAGCGGCGGACGGGUGAGUAACACGUGGGCAACCUGCCCUGCAGAUCGGGAUAACUCCGGGAAACCGGUGAUAAUACCGAAUAGUUUGAGGCCUUUCUUGAGGCUUCACGGAAAGACGGUUUCGGCUGUCACUGCAGGAUGGGCCCGCGGCGCAUUAGCUAGUUGGUGGGGUAACGGCCCACCAAGGCCACGAUGCGUAGCCGAC
This 263-nucleotide ribosomal RNA is filed under the name Planococcus psychrotoleratus. RNAcentral's name for it is "partial 16S ribosomal RNA". It matches the Rfam family "Bacterial small subunit ribosomal RNA", at positions 38 to 291 of the family's 1533-position model. The record is from RNAcentral. Lineage: Bacteria; Bacillati; Bacillota; Bacilli; Caryophanales; Caryophanaceae.